RNAcentral lists this long non-coding RNA (392 nucleotides) under Solanum tuberosum (potato). Its description in RNAcentral is "long non-coding RNA (STUB_LNC005110)". The record is from RNAcentral. Lineage: Eukaryota; Viridiplantae; Streptophyta; Magnoliopsida; Solanales; Solanaceae.
CCUGCUUAGUGGGCUUUUUAAAAUUUUACAAUUUUUUUAUUUGAUUUUCAGCUUAAUGGGCUAAAAAUAAGUGGUUCUUAAAGUGUUGUGGAUAUGGAGAGUCUAGAGGAUUACAGAGGACGUUUGAAGAUAUGUUUGGUGGAGAUUUAGCAAAGAUGAUGGAUUUAACACCUCAUAUUCUGUCUGAACACGCGCAGCACAAAUUUUCCUUUCUCAAAGAUGCUAUCAAGACUAAUAGAGAAAGCACCUUUUAAUCUGGUCUUGUUCUAUAGCCAGACCAGUAGGUUUCUUGAUUCUCUCGGUAUCCAUAUUUGGUGAAUUGACACCCUUACUAAGCAUGUGAAUAAGCAUUAGUACACUUCCAUGUCCUGAUGGUGAUCGCCGGUUGUAGC